GGGGGUGACUGGCUUCGACUUGAGUUAUUGUUGUAUAGGUGGCAUGUCGGGGAUGUCUGGUUGGCCUCGUUAAAAAUCCAGGCACAAAUAAACGCAAAACAGUUAAUGUUUAGCGACGCAGAAUUGGCUUUUGCUUCUUCGGAAGCACCGGCUGAACCUGCCUUAGUCUAAUCCCCAUCCGGGAUUAGCCCUUUUAUAGAGAAGGCCUGCUGCUCUAUAUAAAGGCCCAUAGCAGGAUAGUUUUCCGCUGCGUUUCCCGGCGGAAAACGAGAUUUUAGGAAACUGGUCCUGUUAAAUCCUGUCCGACGGAGUUAACAGGGUGAGAUUAAAAGACGGUCUAAACAUGUAGAGGCCUAUGCAAGGUAAUCCAAGGACCCGAGUUCAAUUCUCGGCACCUCCACCA
RNAcentral lists this transfer-messenger RNA (403 nucleotides) under Candidatus Omnitrophota. Its description in RNAcentral is "JADFXT01 sp015233405 Standard tmRNA". It matches the Rfam family "transfer-messenger RNA". From Rfam's summary of the family: Bacterial tmRNA, also known as 10Sa RNA or SsrA, is named for its dual tRNA and mRNA-like properties. RNAcentral also lists the same sequence under 1 other name. The record is from RNAcentral. Lineage: Bacteria; Pseudomonadati.